AUUGAACGCUGGCGGCAGGCCUAACACAUGCAAGUCGGACGGUAGCACAGAGGAGCUUGCUCCUUGGGCGACGAGUGGCGGACGGGUGAGUAAUGUCUGGGGAUCUGCCCGAUAGAGGGGGAUAACCACUGGAAACGGUGGCUAAUACCGCAUAACGUCGCAAGACCAAAGAGGGGGACCUUCGGGCCUCUCACUAUCGGAUGAAUCCAGAUGGGAUUAGCUAGUAGGCGGGGUAAUGGCCCACCUAGGCGACGAUCCCUAGCUGGUCUGAGAGGAUACCCAGCAAAACUGGAACUGAGACACGGUCCAGACUCCUACGGGAGGCAGCAGUGGGGAAUAUUGCACAAUGGGCGCAAGCCUGAUGCAGCCAUGCCGCGUGUAUGAAGAAGGCCUUCGGGUUGUAAAGUACUUUCAGCGGGGAGGAAGGCGGUGCGGUUAAUAACCGCGCCGAUUGACGUUACCCGCAGAAGAAGCACCGGCUAACUCCGUGCCAGCCGCCGCCGUAA
Molecule: ribosomal RNA, 506 nt
Filed under: uncultured bacterium
Lineage: Bacteria
Description: partial 16S ribosomal RNA
Rfam family: Bacterial small subunit ribosomal RNA
Source: RNAcentral